UAACAGAGCCUGGUUUCGAUCCGCAGACCUCUGGGUUAUGGGCCCAGCACGCUCCCACUGAGCCACUCUGCU
RNAcentral lists this transfer RNA (72 nucleotides) under Araneus ventricosus. RNAcentral's name for it is "tRNA-Met". The record is from RNAcentral. Lineage: Eukaryota; Metazoa; Arthropoda; Arachnida; Araneae; Araneidae.